This 107-nucleotide small nuclear RNA is filed under the name Tursiops truncatus (common bottlenose dolphin). Lineage: Eukaryota; Metazoa; Chordata; Mammalia; Artiodactyla; Delphinidae. The record is from RNAcentral.
GUGCUCGCUUCGGCAGCACAUAUACUAAAGUUGGAACGGUACAGAGAAGAUUAGCAUGGCCCCUGCACAAGGAUGACACGUAAAUUCGUGAAGUGUUCCAAAUUUUU